Molecule: ribosomal RNA, 406 nt
Filed under: uncultured bacterium
Lineage: Bacteria
Description: partial 16S ribosomal RNA
Rfam family: Bacterial small subunit ribosomal RNA
Source: RNAcentral
AUUGAACGCUGGCGGCAGGCUUAACACAUGCAAGUCGAGCGAGCGGCGGACGGGUGAGUAAUGUCUGGGAAACUGCCCGCUGGAGGGGGAUAACUACUGGAAACGGUAGCUAAUACCGCAUACCAUCAGAUGUGCCCAGAUGGGAUUAGCUAGUAGGUGGGGUAAUGGCUCACCUAGGAGACGAUCCCUAGCUGGUCUGAGAGGAUGACCAGCCACACUGGAACUGGGACACGGUCCGGAGUCCUACGGGAGGGAGCAGUGGUGAAUAUUGCGCAAUGGGCGCAAGCCUGAUGCAGCAGUGCCGCGUGUGUGAAGAAGGCCUUCGGGUUGUAGAGCACUUUCAGCGAGGAGGCGUUACUCGCAGAAGAAGCACCGGCUAACUCCGUGCCAGCAGCCGCGGUAAUUC